AGAGUUUGAUCCUGGCUCAGAUUGAACGCUGGCGGCAGGCCUAACACAUGCAAGUCGAACGGUAACAGGAAACAGCUUGCUGUUUCGCUGACGAGUGGCGGACGGGUGAGUAAUGUCUGGGAAACUGCCUGAUGGAGGGGGAUAACUACUGGAAACGGUAGCUAAUACCGCAUAACGUCGCAAGACCAAAGAGGGGGACCCUCGGGCCUCUUGCCAUCGGAUGUGCCCAGAUGGGAUUAGCUUGUUGGUGGGGUAACGGCUCACCAAGGCGACGAUCCCUAGCUGGUCUGAGAGGAUGACCAGCCACACUGGAACUGAGACACGGUCCAGACUCCUACGGGAGGCAGCAGUGGGGAAUAUUGCACAAUGGGCGCAAGCCUGAUGCAGCCAUGCCGCGUGUAUGAAGAAGGCCUUCGGGUUGUAAAGUACUUUCAGCGGGGAGGAAGGGAGUAAAGUUAAUACCUUUGCCCAUUGACGUUACCCGCAGAAGAAGCACCGGCUAACUCCGUGCCAGCAGCCGCGGUAAUACGGAGGGUGCAAGCGUUAAUCGGAAUUACUGGGCGUAAAGCGCACGCAGGCGGUUUGUUAAGUCAGAUGUGAAAUCCCCGGGCUCAACCUGGGAACUGCAUCUGAUACUGGCAAGCUUGAGUCUCGUAGAGGGGGGUAGAAUUCCAGGUGUAGCGGUGAAAUGCGUAGAGAUCUGGAGGAAUACCGGUGGCGAAGGCGGCCUCCUGGACGAAGACUGACGCUCAGGUGCGAAAGCGUGGGGGAGCAAACAGGAUUAGAUACCCUGGUAGUCCACGCCGUAAACGAUGUCGACUUGGAGGUUGUGCCCUUGAGGCGUGGCUUCCGGAGCUAACGCGUUAAGUCGACCGCCUGGGGAGUACGGCCGCAAGGUUAAAACUCAAAUGAAUUGACGGGGGCCCGCACAAGCGGUGGAGCAUGUGGUUUAAUUCGAUGCAACGCGAAGAACCUUACCUGGUCUUGACAUCCACGGAAGUUUUCAGAGAUGAGAAUGUGCCUUCGGGAACCGUGAGACAGGUGCUGCAUGGCUGUCGUCAGCUCGUGUUGUGAAAUGUUGGGUUAAGUCCCGCAACGAGCGCAACCCUUAUCCUUUGUUGCCAGCGGUCCGGCCGGGAACUCAAAGGAGACUGCCAGUGAUAAACUGGAGGAAGGUGGGGAUGACGUCAAGUCAUCAUGGCCCUUACGACCAGGGCUACACACGUGCUACAAUGGCGCAUACAAAGAGAAGCGACCUCGCGAGAGCAAGCGGACCUCAUAAAGUGCGUCGUAGUCCGGAUUGGAGUCUGCAACUCGACUCCAUGAAGUCGGAAUCGCUAGUAAUCGUGGAUCAGAAUGCCACGGUGAAUACGUUCCCGGGCCUUGUACACACCGCCCGUCACACCAUGGGAGUGGGUUGCAAAAGAAGUAGGUAGCUUAACCUUCGGGAGGGCGCUUACCACUUUGUGAUUCAUGACUGGGGUGAAGUCGUAACAAGGUAACCGUA
Molecule: ribosomal RNA, 1507 nt
Filed under: uncultured bacterium
Lineage: Bacteria
Description: bacterial SSU rRNA
Rfam family: Bacterial small subunit ribosomal RNA
Source: RNAcentral